This 468-nucleotide ribosomal RNA is filed under the name uncultured bacterium. RNAcentral's name for it is "partial 16S ribosomal RNA". It matches the Rfam family "Bacterial small subunit ribosomal RNA", at positions 28 to 507 of the family's 1533-position model. The record is from RNAcentral.
GACGAACGCUGGCGGCGUGCUUAACACAUGCAAGUCGAACGGUGAAGCUCCAGCUUGCUGGAGUGGAUCAGUGGCGAACGGGUGAGUAACACGAGAGCAACCUGCCCCUGACUCUGGAAUAAGCGCUGGAAACGGCGUCUAAUACUGGAUACGAGAAGGGUCCGCAUGGGCACUUUCUGGAAAGUUUUUCGGUUGGGGAUGGGCUCGCGGCCUAUCAGCUUGUUGGUGAGGUAAUGGCUCACCAAGGCGACGACGGGUAGCCGGCCUGAGAGGGCGACCGGCCACACUGGGACUGAGACACGGCCCAGACUCCUACGGGAGGCAGCAGUGGGGAAUAUUGCACAAUGGGCGAAAGCCUGAUGCAGCGACGCCGCGUGAGGGAUGACGGCCUUCGGGUUGUAAACCUCUUUCAGCAGGGAAGAAGCGAAAGUGACGGUACCUGCAGAAGAAGCACCGGCUAACUACGUG